Cyprinus carpio carpio is the source of this 2788-nucleotide long non-coding RNA. The record is from Ensembl. NCBI's taxonomy places the organism in Eukaryota, Metazoa, Chordata, Actinopteri, Cypriniformes, Cyprinidae.
UAACCCAACCGUUGGGUUACACAUAUUGGGUCAUUGUGUUGGGUUAUCUUAAAAUUUGUUGGGUCAUUUAUUUUCGGCGUUGGGUUAUUUUUAGUUAUAACCCAACUGUUGGGUUAAAUAUGGUUCCCGCUUCACUCCGGUUCAAAUUUUAACGGUCCAGUCAGCGACUCAGUGGACAUCAGCGGCAGUCUGCCUGAUUAUGAAAGAUAAAUGGAUUUGUGGAUUUUUGUAAAGAAAAAGAUUACAACAGCGGAACCUCUGCAAUUUAAUAGAAACAUUUCAAGGUUGGUGCUAAUAUGGUCCACUACCUCAACAAUGAGACAAGCCAGGAUCCACAUGUCUUGGUGCUUGGAGACAAAUGAAAUUCCUCCCAAGUUUUCAUCAUUUUCAUUGGAGAGGCAGUUGAAAAGGAGACCUUACUUCAAGCAGUGAAUGAAUGCUUCAAAACGUUCUACAUCUAUGACGUAAACUACCCAAAGCCCUCUGCUCCAAUUUGGGAGUUCUUGCAGCAUGCAGUCUAUAAUAUUCCUGGAGGAGUUCCUUCUACACAUUGCUGCCUCCUAAAAAACUUUGUAUUCAAAGUUACUGAUCAUCAGUUGAUCCAGUAGCCAAAAACACACGUUUAAGGGUUAGUUCACCCACAAAUGAAAAUUCUGUCAUUAAUCACCCUCAUGUUGUUCCAAACCCGCAAGACCUCCAUUCAUCUUUGGAACACAAAUUAAGAUAUUGUUGAUGCAUUCUGACAGCUCUCUGACCCUCCUAUGGACAGCAAGGGUCCUUACACCAUCAAUGUCCAGAAACUUAGCAAGGAGAUUGGUAAAAUAAUCCAUGUGACAUCAGGGGUUUAACUUUAACAGCAUACGCUGUUUACGUUGAGUGGAUACUGUCCAAAAUGGCACUAGGGUGACACGGAGGAGACAAAUUGUUGAAUAAACUCAUUAUUUUUUUUUCUUUUGCCCACAAAAAGUAUUCUCGUAUAAUAUUACGGUUGAACCCCUGAUGUCACAUGGAUUAUUUUACCAAUCCUUGCUAAGUUUCUGGACGUUGAUGGUGUAAGGACCCUUGCUGUCUAUGGGAGGGUCAGAGAGCUGUCAGAAUGCAUCAAAAAUAUCUUAACUUGUGUUCCAAAGAUGAACGGAGGUCUUACGGGUUUAGAACGACAUGAGGGUGAGUAAUUAAUAACAGAAUUUUCAUUUUUGGGUGAACUAUCCCUUUAAGGUGUUUAUAACACAAUGCAUAUGGUGACCACUGCAGCAUUUUUAUUAAGGAUAUGUUUAUUUCUUGAAGUAUAAAGGUAUGUCCUUGGUGUACACAUUUGUGUAGUUUUUGGUAUACUGGUAUGUGCACAUUUGUGGUUUGAAUUUGUAUACCGUAUGUGCACAGAUGUUUAGGUUGUAUAUUUCUGUACUGUAUGUGCACAUUUGUUUUGAAUAUUUGUACUGUAUGUGGAUAUUUGUGUUUUGAAUUUAACAUGUAUUUGAAUUUAUGUAUAUUGUUUGUGUAUAUUUGUUUUGAAUUUAAUGUGUAUUUUGAAUAUUUGUACUUCAACAUUUAUUUGCCAUGUGUUCUGCAUGUUCACUCGUGUAUUUUGAAUUCAAUAUAAUUGUGCACAUUUAUAUUAAAUACUAGGCUCAUCAAUAUUGAGUAAAUUUGUCAUUUAAAACUUAAAAACUGUUUUUAAAGCAGAUUUAUUGUUUUUCUACUUAAAUAAAACAUACGUAUUUGAAAAUUGUGUAUUUUAUUCAUUAAAAUAAUCUCAUGAAUAAAAGUAAAUAGUUAACCCAACUGUUGGGUUAUUUUUAACCCAACUGGCUUUUAACCCAAUCAUUGGGUUAAAAAUAACCCACAGUUGGGAAGGUGCUAUACCAACCCAUAGUUGGGUUACUUGUUGGGUUAUUUUUAACCCAACUGUUUUUAGUGUGUAUUAUUUUUUUGCAAUUUUUUUAAUUAUUCUCCAAAUGAGUGAACAGCAGCUUAAUGCAACCAGACCUUUUGGCUUUUUGUGCAAUUAUAAGCUGGCACAGAGGGAAAAUCACUGAGUUAUUUUUGCUCCUGCAGUAGACUACAUUUCAUGAUUUUGUGAUGUGAAAUCAUUUAGCACGUAAUUGCAGGGUUGGUUUAACUGCUGCUCAUUAAAUGUAAACAGAUAUAUUUGGGGUUUAAUUAUAGCUCAGCACCCAGUUAUUUCAUCUGUCUUUUUUUUCUCAAAGCAGGAGACGUUUGUCUCUCAGUCAGCGACUCACUGUUUGGAAAAUAGCUGGGCCACCAUGGAUCAAUACUCUUUCAGUAUCAUACCACAGUGCCACACUUGAGGUAUUCUGUUCAUUGUGUUUUCUCUCUAGACAGAGUAACCCUGUUUUCAGAGAAUGUCUACAGUGUUUGCACAAACCAGAGAAACCAAAGUUAAGAAAGUGGUCUUGUAUAAAACUAACAACAACACAUGCAUGCUGUACCAAUAUUCUGGAUAUAUUAUAAAUUAAGCUUAAUAGACAGCUUUAUGACACAAUAAUGAUUGCAAAAUUUGUAUAUACUUUUUCUUAAAAAAAAAGGUACUUACAGUAGAAUUGAAUCUGUAAACAUUACUCACUCAUUCAAGAGUUUAGAUAUAAACAAUAUGCAUGUUAACAUUUGAGUAAAGUUAUAUCCAAAUUUAAAGCAUCAUUUUAGUAUCAUUGCGAUACUUUCGUAGUAUCAUUUAAUUACUUUUUAUUUUUUAUAUUUCCUGUUUUAAUUUUAAUUUUAAAGUUUUAAUAAAUGUGUUUUGUCUUUGUCAUUUUUUUUUAAAAGU